Molecule: ribosomal RNA, 500 nt
Filed under: uncultured Glomeromycotina
Lineage: Eukaryota; Fungi; Glomeromycota
Description: partial small subunit ribosomal RNA
Rfam family: Eukaryotic small subunit ribosomal RNA
Source: RNAcentral
CCAAUAGCGUAUAUUAAAGUUGUUGCAGUUAAAAAGCUCGUAGUUGAACUUCGGGAUCAAUGAAUUGGUCAUGCCGUUGGUAUGUACUGAUUUUAUUGGUUCUCACCUUCUAAAGAACCAUAAUGUCAUUCAUUUGAUGUUAUGGGGAAUUAGGACUGUUACCUUGAAAAAAUUAGAGUGUUUAAAGCAGGCUUACGCUUGAAUACAUUAGCAUGGAAUAAUGAAAUAGGACAUCCGAUUCUAUUUUGUUGGUUUCUAGGAUCGAUGUAAUGAUUAAUAGGGAUAGUUGGGGGCAUUAGUAUUCAAUUGUCAGAGGUGAAAUUCUUGGAUUUAUUGAAGACUGACUACUGCGAAAGCAUUUGCCAAGGAUGUUUUCAUUAAUCAAGAACGAAAGUUAGGGGAUCGAAGACGAUCAGAUACCGUCGUAGUCUUAACCAUAAACUAUGCCGACUAGGGAUCGGAUGAUGUUGAUUUUUUAAUGACUCAUUCGGCACCUUACG